CAAUAAAUACUACAUGCAAUUCUCUAUCUAAUUACACUAAUCACAUCACUAAUAUACAAAGCAAUUAACUAAUAAUCACUAAUCAAUUCUAAUCUAACAACCUAAUUACACUUAAUUAACACUAAUCAACCUUUAAGUAUAAUUAGCAAACUAAGAAGGCAUUAGUGAGUAAAACUCACUCAAAACGACGGGCUCGACGCGAGGAUCAACUUUCCUCAAAGCGGGCCGAGCAUCCGGGCUCGGGGAGGCGGCCAAAACGGGCCAAAACCCCUCUGCGAUACCCAUUUCUGCACUCUCUGUGCGCGGCUGGUUGAGGCCGUUCCGAGGUCGAUUGAGGUGGCCAAGGGCAGCUAGAGUCCGGUGGAGCUCCGGUGGGUUGAAGUGGCGGCGCAUGGUGGCCGGAGGUGGCUGAACCGUGGCUUGUGCUGGCCAAAAUGGAGCUGAACAGAGGCGGAACAGGGGUUGGACAGCAGCUCUGGAACAGCGAGUUGGGCGAGAGGGAGACCGAGCUGAGCGGAGCAGCGGCGGAGCGCACGGCGUCGCGCUGGCGGCGGUGCGGCAGCUCCGGUCCAACAACGCCAGCUGCUACCCCAACUCCAGUGUCUUCCCAGAUCUGAGAUCCCGAGCAGCAAACGGAGGGGAAGACAGAGGGUGGACGGCGUUCAAGCAGGCGAGCAGGAGACGGACGGUGGCAGCGUUCCGGCACGACGGCGAAGGCAGCUCCGGCGCGAUUGUAGCUCCUUCAAGCAACGCCGAUCGCUGCUUCUACUUCUGCUAGUCGGUUCUGUUUGAACCAAAGGGAGGAGAGGGGCGGACGCACGCAGACGGCAGCUCGGCGGGCGGCUCGGGUGUGCGAGCAGCUCCGGUGCUUGCGGGCGUGCGAUGGCGGCGGCGAGAGGCGGCGACGGGCGAAGCUGCUGUUGCUGCUUCGGCUGCUCUGGUCUUCGCACAGCCAUGGCACGAGCAGCAAGAAGAGGGAGAGAGG
This 985-nucleotide long non-coding RNA is filed under the name Eucalyptus grandis. RNAcentral's name for it is "long non-coding RNA (EGRA_LNC007926)". The record is from RNAcentral. Lineage: Eukaryota; Viridiplantae; Streptophyta; Magnoliopsida; Myrtales; Myrtaceae.